RNAcentral lists this long non-coding RNA (564 nucleotides) under Heterocephalus glaber (naked mole-rat). RNAcentral describes it as "lncRNA (ENSHGLG00000039963.1)". Lineage: Eukaryota; Metazoa; Chordata; Mammalia; Rodentia; Bathyergidae. The record is from RNAcentral.
CAGGGGCAUGCGGCGUGAGGGGACCCGGGCCAGUGCCGGCUGCCCAAGGGGGUCUCUUAAGCCAAGGCUCGCCGAAGCCAGCCUCCCUGUCCCCUUAGUACCACCCGGACGCAGGGCUUACCCGGGAGGCAGCAACACAGGCAGCUCAGGAGCACCCAGUGGCCCCUGGUCCAGGGCCUCCCGCUCAUAGCUCCACACAGUCCUCGGCUGCAGCUGCGUGGCACAGAAGUGGCAGCGUGAGGAGCAGAGAGGGCGCCUGUCCCGGCCGCUGCCACCUCUCUCACAGGGGCACCAUGCUGCUAGAGUACAGCAGGGGACCGCAUCACGCAGUGCUGGCCCUGGAAAUCCCCUAAACACCUGCCCGCAUCACCAAGGAGUCAGCAGUCAGGCUGGGUGACCCAGGGAAACAGCGGGACUCAUCCGUCGGUCAAACUUCUCAGGGGCACAAAGCUGGGCAGACAGCAGACUCCAGACGCCCCAGCUGCACCUCACUGGGUCCCCUCCGAGGCUCCCCUGUCCCCCUGGCCAAGAGGGCUGAGAGGAGGUGGCAGAGGCAGAACAGCA